Long non-coding RNA from Phyllostomus discolor (pale spear-nosed bat), 1220 nucleotides. RefSeq lists it as uncharacterized. Lineage: Eukaryota; Metazoa; Chordata; Mammalia; Chiroptera; Phyllostomidae. The record is from RefSeq and is a predicted model, not a curated record. The transcript has 3 exons.
CCAGCUGGGUGGGAGGGGCACUCAACAAAGGAAUAAUAGCAUCUGCCAGCACUUCUGUCCUUGGAGAGAUCUGCCCUGACCCUUGCCCCUCCAACCCUCACCCAAAGCUAGUCAAUUCAAUUACUUUCCAUGUGUUCCUGGUGCCCUUUGUGCUGCCGCCCUGCCCUGGUGCCCAGAGUGAGUUUGUGAGUGAGCGAGUCUUUGUGGGGGCCCUCAAGUAGGAUGGGUGGGACUUUAGCAGUCCUCCAUCUGGGAUGCAGUCUCUGUUGGUUUUCAUGGAGACUCCUUUUCCUGGCACCUGUGCCCUGGACUGUGGAGCCCAUUACCGGUCUGGGGCACUUGCCUAAUGACCAGGGAGGUGGGUGAGGAGGCAGGAGUCUCUGCAGCUGGGCUAUUCCUCCUGAUUCUUAAUCACCCCACCAUGGGUGUGGGACCAGGCCACUCUGCAUCUCUACCCCUCCUACGAGACUGGUUGUGGCUGCUUCUUUAUAUCCUUAAUUAUAGAACUUCUAAUCAGGUGGUUUUCAGUGAUGGUUGUUCUGUAAUUUAGUUGUAAUGGUGAUGUGUUUGUGGGAGGAGGUGAGCUCAGCGUUUACCUGUUCCACCACCUGGACCGGAAGUGCUUCUGAUUUUCGUAGUGACCUCUUUAGAAGAGCAAACAUGUUAAAUUUUGAUGUGGCCCAGUUUAUCAUUUUUCCCUUAAAUUUCAUAGUUUGUGUCCUAUUGAUAUGUCUACCUCAGUGUUAUAAAAGAUUUUACCCUGUUUUCUUCUAGCUAUUUUAUAGUUUACAUUUUUAUGUUUAGGUCUAUGAUUUAUUUCAAAUCAAUGUUUGUGUUAAGUGUGAGAUUAACUUUUCUUAUUUUUGUAAGUGGGUAUUCCAAUUGUUUCAGCAGCAUUUGAGAAAUCUUUUUUUAAAUUGGGUUAUCUUGGCACCCUUGUUGAAGAUUAGUUGCCUUUAUAUCGCUAGUUAUCCUAGACUUCCUACAAUUUACUGAUCUGUAUGCCUGUCCUUGUGCCAGUUACCUCAGUGCCUCAAUUAUUGUAGCUUUAGAGUAUUUCUUGAUACCAGGUAGUAUAAAUCGUCUUAGUUCUUUUUCAAAACUAUUGAGCAAUUUUUGGUCCUUAGCAUUUCAACACAUAAUUUUAGAAUAAUUUUCUCCAUUUCUACAGAACAAUGUGCCAGGAUGUUUGUAAGUGUGUGUGUGUGUGUGUGUGUGUA